This 85-nucleotide transfer RNA is filed under the name Punica granatum (pomegranate). It matches the Rfam family "tRNA". Rfam says of the family: Transfer RNA (tRNA) molecules are approximately 80 nucleotides in length. The record is from Rfam by way of RNAcentral. Lineage: Eukaryota; Viridiplantae; Streptophyta; Magnoliopsida; Myrtales; Lythraceae.
GCGACCUUAGCUCAGUUGGUAGAGCGGAGGACUGUAGUUGUCACAGAUAAUUCUUAGGUCACUGGUUCGAAUCUGGCAGGUCGGA